Molecule: long non-coding RNA, 560 nt
Filed under: Sparus aurata (gilthead seabream)
Lineage: Eukaryota; Metazoa; Chordata; Actinopteri; Spariformes; Sparidae
Description: lncRNA (ENSSAUG00010004011.1)
Source: RNAcentral
AUGACAUAAAGGGAGUUAAUUCAUUCAGUUGUUCAUUGUCUUUCUCUUGUUAAUCUGUAGAAUUCCAAUCAUGAUGAUGACAUCAACACAGAUGGUCACAUGAGUAACACUUCGACCAAUGGAGAGGAAGAACUCAACAAUUCCAGCAGUGAAGAUGAACUCAGUAAUGAGAACUCUUCCACAAUCAGCCUGUUGGAUAUGGACAUUCAAGAGAAUGAUAAUAAAGAUAACCAAAUUAACACAGAAGAGCACCGGAGUAACACUUCCAACAGUGAAGAUGAAGAUGAUGAACUCAACAACACUGAGAACCCUACCACAAGCCACUCGCAUGUGGACAUUUCAGAGGUAAAUGCAUUCCAUGUGGUAGUUCAUAUAUGUUUUCUUUAUAUAAAUGUCUACUCUUUUAAUUAAUUACUUCAAGUAAUAUUUUUCCCUUGUCAACCUGUAGAAUGAGGAAGCCCUGUCACAUUCUGAAGAGGACUUGAUUGAUGCUGCCAGUAAUGAAGGUGAAAACCAUGCUGACGAUGAAGACGUGAUGGAGGGGAAUAGUACUUGAGAAA